RNAcentral lists this ribosomal RNA (393 nucleotides) under uncultured bacterium. RNAcentral describes it as "partial 16S ribosomal RNA". It matches the Rfam family "Bacterial small subunit ribosomal RNA", at positions 523 to 918 of the family's 1533-position model. The record is from RNAcentral.
AUACGGAGGAUGCAAGCGUUAUCCGGAUUUAUUGGGUUUAAAGGGUGCGUAGGCUGUUCGGAAAGUCAGGGGUGAAAGCCCGGCGCCUAACGCCGGAACUGCCUUUGAUACUUCCGAGCUGGAAUACGGAUGCCGUGGGAGGAAUGAGUAGUGUAGCGGUGAAAUGCAUAGAUAUUACUCAGAACACCGAUUGCGAAGGCAUCUCACGAAUCCGUCAUUGACGCUGAGGCACGAAAGCGUGUGGAUCAAACAGGAUUAGAUACCCUGGUAGUCCACGCAGUAAACGAUGAUGACUAACCGUCGGCGAUACACAGUCGGUGGCCAAGCGAAAGCGAUAAGUCAUCCACCUGGGGAGUACGUUCGCAAGAAUGAAACUCAAAUGAAUUGACGGGG